This 470-nucleotide ribosomal RNA is filed under the name uncultured bacterium. RNAcentral describes it as "bacterial SSU rRNA". It matches the Rfam family "Bacterial small subunit ribosomal RNA", at positions 28 to 498 of the family's 1533-position model. The record is from RNAcentral.
GAUGAACGCUGGCGGCGUGCUUAACACAUGCAAGUCGAACGAAGCAUUUGCGACGGAUUCUUUCGGGAUGAAGAUGCUUAUGACUGAGUGGCGGACGGGUGAGUAACGCGUGGGUAACCUGCCUUAUACAGGGGGAUAGCAGUUGGAAACGACUGGUAAUACCGCAUAAGCGCACAGUAUUGCAUGAUACAGUGUGAAAAACUGAGGUGGUAUAAGAUGGACCCGCGUCUGAUUAGCUGGUUGGUGAGGUAACGGCCCACCAAGGCGACGAUCAGUAGCCGACCUGAGAGGGUGACCGGCCACAUUGGGACUGAGACACGGCCCAGACUCCUACGGGAGCAGCAGUGGGGAAUAUUGCACAAUGGAGGAAACUCUGAUGCAGCGACGCCGCGUGAGUGAAGAAGUAGUUCGCUAUGUAAAGCUCUAUCAGCAGGGAAGAUAGUGACGGUACCUGACAAGAAGCUCCGGCU